GACGAACGCUGGCGGCGUGCUUAACACAUGCAAGUCGAACGGAAAGGCCCUGCUUUUGUGGGGUGCUCGAGUGGCGAACGGGUGAGUAACACGUAAGUAACCUGCCCUUGACUUUGGGAUAACUUCAGGUAACUGGGGCUAAUACCCGAUAGGAGCUCCUGCUGCAUGGUGGGGGUUGGAAUGUUUCGGCGGUUGGGGAUGGACUCGCGGCUUCUCAGCUUGUUGGUGGGGUGGUGGCUUACCAAGGCUUUGACGGGUAGCCGGCCUGGGAGGGUGACCGGCCACAUUGGGACUGAGAUGCGGCCCAGACUCCUACGGGAGGCAGCGGUGGGGAAUAGUGCACAAGGGGCGGAAGCCUGAUGCAGCAACGCCGCGUGCGGGAUGACGGCCUGCGGGUUGUAAACCGCUUUCGCCUGUGACGAAGCGUGAGUGACGGUAAUGGAUAAAGAAGCACCGGCUAACUACGUG
RNAcentral lists this ribosomal RNA (468 nucleotides) under uncultured bacterium. RNAcentral describes it as "partial 16S ribosomal RNA". It matches the Rfam family "Bacterial small subunit ribosomal RNA", at positions 28 to 507 of the family's 1533-position model. The record is from RNAcentral.